RNAcentral lists this ribosomal RNA (447 nucleotides) under uncultured bacterium. RNAcentral describes it as "SSU rRNA". It matches the Rfam family "Bacterial small subunit ribosomal RNA", at positions 26 to 518 of the family's 1533-position model. The record is from RNAcentral.
AGAGCGAACGCUGGCGGCAGGCCUAACACAUGCAGGUCGAGCGCCCGUAGCAAUACGGGAGCGGCAGACGGGAUAGUAACACGUGGGAACGCGCCCUUCGGUUCGGAAUAACUCAGGGAAACUUGAGCUAAUACCGAAUACGCCCUUACGGGGAAAGAUUUAUUGCCGAAGGAACGGCCCGCGUCCGAUUAGCUAGUUGGUGAGGUAAUGGCUCACCAAGGCUACGAUCGGUAGCUGGUCUGAGAGGAUGACCAGCAUCACUGGGACUGAGACACGGCCCAGACUCCUACGGGAGGCAGCAGUGGGGAAUAUUGGACAAUGGGCGCAAGCCUGAUCCAGCCAUGCCGCGUGGAUGAUGAAGGCCUUAGGGUUGUAAAGUCCUUUUAACGGGGAAGAUAAUGACGGUACCGUAGAAUAAGCCCCGGCUAACUUCGUGCCAGCAGCCGC